CAUGCACUGUUGGUCAGAUCAGUUAUACAAUAAUGGAUUAGUACUUUCCGCGUUCAGUACUGCACGGCAUGCUCCGCGCGGUGCUGUUCACUACUAUAUAUCAUAUGUUGAUAUGACUCCGGCGCGGCUCCUUACGUGAGAUACAUCUUCUACAAAAUAGUGUGUCGUGAUAUGAUGUCUUGUGAGAGCGGGGGAUAUAUAUAUCUCUCUGUGUGCGGGAAUAUACUUCGUGAUAAUAGUGUGAGAAAUCCGCGGGGGGAAAAGAGGCCCCCCCUCUGGAAAAAAAAUAUAUUCUCUUUUGUGUGGAAAAAGUGUGGGCCAAACCCGGUUUUUUAUAUCCCCGGUUUUUCCCCCCGUUAAAAGAAUUUUUUUUGGGGGUUUUGGUUUUUUAAACCCGGGUUUUUGGGGGGUAAACGGGGUUAAAUUUGCCCCCCUGGGGGGAUUACCGGCCCCAAAGGUUUUAAAAUUUAAAUUAAAUUGGAGGGGGGGCCCCCCCCCCAAGCGGGGGGGAGCCAUGGGGUUUUUAUUUGGAGAAAGGGGAAAAACCUUUACCUUAUUCUGAACUUCCAGGGAAUUCUUUAGAGAUAGGAGGAGGGCCUUUGGGAAACGGUGAGACAGGGGUUGCAUGGGCUGGUCGUCAGCGUGUUGUGAAAAUGUUGGGGUUAAAGUCCCGGCAACGAGCGCAACCCUUAUCCUUUGUUGCCAGCACGUAAUGGUGGUGGGGAACUCAAAGGAGACUGCCGGUGAUAAACCGGAGGAAGGUGGGGAUGACGUCAAGUCAUCAUGGCCCUUACGAGUAGGGCUACACACGUGCUAACAAUGGCAGAUACAAAGAGAAGCGACCUCGCGAGAGCAAGCGGAACUCAUAAAGUCUGUCGUAGUCCGGAUUGGAGUCUGCAACUCGACUCCAUGAAGUCGGAAUCGCUAGUAAUCGUAGAUCAGAAUGCUACGGUGAAUACGUUCCCGGGCCUUGUACACACCGCCCGUCACACCAUGGGAGUGGGUUGCAAAAGAAGUAGUGUAGCUUAACCUUCGGGAGGGCGCUUACUCAUCGUUGUU
Molecule: ribosomal RNA, 1059 nt
Filed under: Proteus mirabilis
Lineage: Bacteria; Pseudomonadati; Pseudomonadota; Gammaproteobacteria; Enterobacterales; Morganellaceae
Also listed under: 1 other name
Description: partial 16S ribosomal RNA
Rfam family: Bacterial small subunit ribosomal RNA (bases 350-1059)
Source: RNAcentral